RNAcentral lists this ribosomal RNA (354 nucleotides) under Triticum aestivum (bread wheat). RNAcentral describes it as "partial small subunit ribosomal RNA". Lineage: Eukaryota; Viridiplantae; Streptophyta; Magnoliopsida; Poales; Poaceae. The record is from RNAcentral.
AUGCUAACUGGACAAUGUGUUAGCUUGUUCUGUACUUACUCUGUAGCUACCAGUGAUCGAAGUUGGAAGCUCAAUUUGUACUGCUCUAAAUUGCUUAAACGAUCAGGUGUCCUGCUAUAUGGACCUCCAGGCACUGGGAAGACAUUACUUGUGAAAGCAGUAGCAACUGAGUGCUCAUUAAACUUUCUUAGCAUAAAAAGUCCAGAACUGAUAAACAUGUAUGUUGGAGAGUCAGAGAGGAAUAUCAGGGACAUCUUUGAGAAGGUAUAUCCAUCUGCACAAGCCAUGUAUGUAAUUGCCAUGAAAUAUGCACAUAUACUUGGGUUUCAGUUUUCACUAUCCAUUUCAGGCUAG